GACGAACGCUGGCGGCGUGCUUAACACAUGCAAGUCGAACGGAAAGGCCCUGCUUGCAGGGUACUCGAGUGGCGAACGGGUGAGUAACACGUGGGUGAUCUGCCCUGCACUUCGGGAUAAGCCUGGGAAACUGGGUCUAAUACCGGAUAGGAGCCAUUUUUAGUGUGAUGGUUGGAAAGUUUUUUCGGUGUCGGAUGAGCUCGCGGCCUAUCAGCUUGUUGGUGGGGUAAUGGCCUACCAAGGCGGCGACGGGUAGCCGGCCUGAGAGGGUGGACGGCCACAUUGGGACUGAGAUACGGCCCAGUCUCCUACGGGAGGCAGCAGUGGGGAAUAUUGCACAAUGGGCGCAAGCCUGAUGCAGCGACGCCGCGUGGGGGAUGACGGCCUUCGGGUUGUAAACUCCUUUCGCUAGGGACGAAGCUUUUUGUGACGGUACCUAGAUAAGAAGCACCGGCUAACUACGUGCCAGCAGCCGCCGUAA
This 481-nucleotide ribosomal RNA is filed under the name uncultured bacterium. RNAcentral describes it as "partial 16S ribosomal RNA". It matches the Rfam family "Bacterial small subunit ribosomal RNA", at positions 28 to 523 of the family's 1533-position model. The record is from RNAcentral.